GGACCAAGCGUAACUUUUAUUUACAUCCAAAUCGCCCGGGAACUACGAGCUAAGCUUAAAACCCAAAGGACUUGACGGUACCCCAUAUCCCCCUAGAGGAGCCUGUCCUAUAAUCGAUAAUCCACGUUUAACCUCACCGCUUCUAGUUAAUCAGCCUGUAUACCUCCGUCGUCAGCUUACCACGUGAGCGUAAAUUAGUGAGCCCAAUGUUAUUUCACCAACACGUCAGGUCAAGGUGCAGCAAAUGAAGUGGGAAGAGAUGGGCUACACUUUCUAUUUUAGAAGAAACGAAAAACUACUUAUGAAACCUAGUUAGAAGGCGGAUUUAGCAGUAAAAAGAAAUCAGCAUGUUCAUUUUAACCCGGCACUGGGGUGUGUACACACCGCCCGUCACCCUCCUGCAGUCAA
RNAcentral lists this ribosomal RNA (408 nucleotides) under Bufotes viridis (European green toad). RNAcentral describes it as "partial 12S ribosomal RNA". It matches the Rfam family "Bacterial small subunit ribosomal RNA", at positions 875 to 1414 of the family's 1533-position model. Lineage: Eukaryota; Metazoa; Chordata; Amphibia; Anura; Bufonidae. The record is from RNAcentral.